UACGGGGGGGGCAAGCGUUGUUCGGAAUUACUGGGCGUAAAGGGCUCGUAGGCGGCCAACUAAGUCAGACGUGAAAUCCCUCGGCUUAACCGGGGAACCGCAUCUGAUACUGGAUGGCUUGAGAUUGGGAGAGGGAUGCGGAAUUCCAGGUGUAGCGGUGAAAUGCGUAGAUAUCUGGAGGAACACCGGUGGCGAAGGCGGCAUCCUGGACCAACACUGACGCUGAGGAGCGAAAGCCAGGGGAGCAAACGGG
This 253-nucleotide ribosomal RNA is filed under the name uncultured bacterium. RNAcentral describes it as "partial 16S ribosomal RNA". It matches the Rfam family "Bacterial small subunit ribosomal RNA", at positions 524 to 776 of the family's 1533-position model. The record is from RNAcentral.